GAUGAACGCUGGCGGCGUGCCUAAUACAUGCAAGUCGAGCGAACAGAUGAGGAGCUUGCUCCUCUGACGUUAGCGGCGGACGAGUGAGUAAUACGUGGAUAACCUCCCUAUCAGACUGGGAUAAAUUCGGGAAACCGGAGCUAAUACCGGAUAAUAUAUUGAACCGCAUGGUUCAAUAGUGAAAGACGGUUUUGCUGUCAGUGAUAGAUGGACCCGCGCCGCAUUAGCUAGUUGGUCAGGUAACGGCUUACCAAGGCAACGAUGCGUAGCCGCCCUGAGAGGGUGAUCGGCCACACUGGAGCGGCUACACGGUCCAGACUCCUACGGGAGGCAGCAGUAGGGAAUCUUCCGCAAUGGGCGAAAGCCUGACGGAGCAGCGCCGCGUGAGUGAUGAAGGUCUUCGGAUCGUAAUACUCUUUUAUUAGGGAAGAACAAAUGUGUAAGUAACUAUGCACGUCUUGACGGUACCUAAUCAGAAAGCCACGGCUAACUACGUG
Molecule: ribosomal RNA, 497 nt
Filed under: uncultured bacterium
Lineage: Bacteria
Description: partial 16S ribosomal RNA
Rfam family: Bacterial small subunit ribosomal RNA
Source: RNAcentral